UCUCUUCCUGCUUUUGUUGCAAACAGCACGUACACUGUAACAAGUUUCACUCUUGUGCUUGAGUUUAAGAAGGGCCGGCUACAAAACCUUUACUGGAAAAGGGAUGGAUGCGCAAGAUGUACAGGAAACAAUAACUUUGUCUGUCUUAACAAUCAGGACUGUGCAAUCAGAACAUCAAACUGCAAAAACCGUGGAGGUUCAGUAGAUUGCAGCCUUGGUA
RNAcentral lists this unclassified non-coding RNA (220 nucleotides) under Hevea brasiliensis (rubber tree). The record is from RNAcentral. Lineage: Eukaryota; Viridiplantae; Streptophyta; Magnoliopsida; Malpighiales; Euphorbiaceae.